RNAcentral lists this ribosomal RNA (253 nucleotides) under uncultured bacterium. Its description in RNAcentral is "partial 16S ribosomal RNA". It matches the Rfam family "Bacterial small subunit ribosomal RNA", at positions 524 to 776 of the family's 1533-position model. The record is from RNAcentral.
UACAGAGGGUGCGAGCGUUAAUCGGAAUUAUUGGGCGUAAAGCGCACGUAGGCGGCUCCGCAAGUCCCAUGUGAAAGCCCACGGCUUAACCGUGGAAGUGCAUGGGAAACUGCAGAGCUUGAGUACUAAAGAGGAUCGCGGAAUUCCCGGUGUAGAGGUGAAAUUCGUAGAUAUCGGGAGGAACACCAGUGGCGAAGGCGGCGGUCUGGGUAGAUACUGACGCUGAGGUGCGAAAGCGUGGGGAGCAAACAGG